RNAcentral lists this long non-coding RNA (236 nucleotides) under Elaeis guineensis (African oil palm). Its description in RNAcentral is "long non-coding RNA (EGUI_LNC018019)". Lineage: Eukaryota; Viridiplantae; Streptophyta; Magnoliopsida; Arecales; Arecaceae. The record is from RNAcentral.
ACAGCAGAUGACUUAGACCAUCGGCAUAACAGAACUACUAGCCGAUGGUUCCUCAUGGAUUCUACCAACUUAGACCAUCGACAUAACAGAACUACUAGCCGACGGUCCCUCAUGGAUUCUACCGAUAUAUGAUCGGUUCUACCGAUAUAUGAUCGGCCAAUCUGCUCAACAUACCAUAACUGUCAUGAACGGUUACCGGCCGCAUAUCACGAAUGCGAUCAGUGGGAAUUAACAAU